UACAGAGACUGCAAGCGUUAUUCGGAUUCACUGGGCGUAAAGGGUGCGCAGGCGGCCAAGUGUGUGAGGCGUGAAAGCCCGGGGCUUAACCCCGGAAUUGCACCUCAAACUACAUGGCUAGAGCAUUGGAGAGGGUAGCAGAAUUCAUGGUGUAGCAGUGAAAUGCGUAGAUAUCAUGAGGAAUACCAGAGGCGAAGGCGGCUACCUGGACAAUUGCUGACGCUCAGGCAUGAAAGCGUGGGGAGCAAAAGGG
RNAcentral lists this ribosomal RNA (253 nucleotides) under uncultured bacterium. Its description in RNAcentral is "partial 16S ribosomal RNA". It matches the Rfam family "Bacterial small subunit ribosomal RNA", at positions 524 to 776 of the family's 1533-position model. The record is from RNAcentral.